CCCACAGGAAACCAAAUCUGAACCACCACAAGGUAAACUGAGUCCAGCAGGGACGGGGGCUGGGCCACACAGUGAUGCCAGAUGAAGCUCUUUUCCUGCCGGUGGCCGUGGAGGGGGGGGGGGGGAAGGUGUGGGAGGGAACGGUAGGCAAUUUCUCUGAGUGCAGGAUCGCUACUAAAAUAGGGAUAAAAAAUGAGUCAUUAGCGAGAUUGACAGGCAGAGCUUUAAAAUGUCGCUGGUCCGGGAAGAGCCAGCUAUGAGAAAGGAUGGAGAGAUGUACAGACGUCAGGGGAGAUCGUGGCACGGACAGUGCUUUUCUCCAAGCCCUCCACCUGGUGUCUGAUGUUGCCAAGGUCACAGGCACAAAAAUGACUCCUGUUGUGCUAGAUGUAGACGUACCAACAGUUACACUACGUUACGUUGGACCAGGUCACGCAAGAUCUCUGGUUGUGUCUGUGGUGGAGACAAGGAGAUGUCAGAAACCCAGGGGUGUAUCAGUUAGGGAAGGUUAUACGCGGUAACAAACAUCCCCCAGAUCUCCGUGGCUCAAAAGUGACCCAAGAUGCAUCUCCUGCUUGCGUUCAUCCCUCUGUCGGGGUUUGGCUGAGGAUGUGUUGCAUCCUCCUUCUACAGGCACCGGUUGGUGGAGCCACCGCCCCCUCUGACUUGCCGGUCACUGCCGCUGAAGAAAAGAGGCAACGUGACAAGUGGUAGCCUGGCUGCAGAAGUUUCCGUCCGGAGGGGGCACGUGUCACUUCAGCUCCCAUUUAAUUGGUCAAAGCAGCUCCCGUGGCUCCCACGGGGCUUCGGGGGGAGGAGAGAAGGGCAAUUCCGCCUGGGAAAAUGACCGGACAUCUUUUUUGGGGACAGCGUCAAUGGUUAACUUAGGGGAUGGGGGAAGGGCAAUGUUCGCCAGCAACGAAACUCACACCAGAAAAAAAGUACCCGAACAUCGGCCAAGGCCAGCUACCUCUAAUGCUCCUGGAUGUCGGCAACCUUCUAGAAUCUGAUAGGGUUUAAUUCGUGUGAUCCUCAAAGCAAUUCCAUUUGACGGACGAGGAAACCGAGCACAGAGAGGUUAGGUAUAUUUUCCGAGGACCCACAGCUCUGAAGCAGCAGACGGGGAGAUUUGAUCCUAAGCAAUGUGGCCCUAAACCGGGUGCAUUUAAAUGCUACAGCAGAACGCCUCAGACCCAGAGAAGCUUCCGGAAGACAAAAAGGGCCAAGAAAUGUCGGCCGCAGUGACUGAUUCAGGGAUAGGCCGGUGAUCCCCCCUGAGCCAAUCGGAUCCUUCACUGGGACUCUGGCUGGAUCCCGUAGGGAAGAGUCUCUGCGUCCACCCGAGUUGCUAGGAGAGAAGGGUGUGGGUCUGGGGAGCUGGUGACUGCGUGGAGGGUUGCAAGAUGGCGACGAUCAUGUUUGAACCCCUGGAGGCAGCCGUGUCUGAAGCCAGCUUAAUCCUGGCUUCCCAGUCCACAAGCCGGCACGCCCGCCCCCCUUAUUAUAUCUGUUUUUCAAGGCAGUUUGAGUUGAGUUGCUUUCCCUUGUAAGCAAAAGAUCCCUACAGAGGGCCAGUGUCCUUGUGCAGAUCCCCGGAGAACUGACUCGAGACGCUGAUGCCCUGGAAAACGAGGGUGUCUCUACUAUGUGACAGAUGCCGGUGAGCCCGUGCCUCAGAGCAGGGAACUCGAGUCCAAUUCAGCCUCCAACACGGACCCCACGACCCCCGCCUCCUGGUGUUUACAGCGGGGUAGGCUUCUCCCUCUCUGUGUCAGGCUGGGUCCCUGUGACCAAUAGAUGCGGUCACACAGAGGUGAUGACUGUCGCUACCGAGAUUAGGUUGUAAAAGACUGUGUUUUCUACCUCAUUUGUUCCGCGCGUGAGCUUCUCUCUCUCUCAUCUCCCCCUCCCACGGCCGCCUCCCUCUCUCUCUCUUGUCUCUCCCUCCUCCCUGGCUCCCGGCCGGUCCUGCUCUCGGACCAGCCUUGGUCUCUCCUGCUUUCCUUCCGCUCUCAUCUCCCUCCCCCUCCUCCCUUGACCUCUGGUCUGUCUCCCAUCUG
Leopardus geoffroyi (Geoffroy's cat) is the source of this 2060-nucleotide long non-coding RNA. RefSeq lists it as uncharacterized. Lineage: Eukaryota; Metazoa; Chordata; Mammalia; Carnivora; Felidae. The transcript has 3 exons. The record is from RefSeq and is a predicted model, not a curated record.